RNAcentral lists this ribosomal RNA (392 nucleotides) under uncultured bacterium. RNAcentral's name for it is "partial 16S ribosomal RNA". It matches the Rfam family "Bacterial small subunit ribosomal RNA", at positions 523 to 918 of the family's 1533-position model. The record is from RNAcentral.
AUACGUAGGGGGCGAGCGUUGUCCGGAUUUACUGGGCGUAAAGGGUGAGUAGGCGGUUAUAUAUGUCAGGUGUAAAAAGCUAUGGCUUAACCAUAGUAAGCACUUGAAACUGUAUGACUUGAGUGCGGGAGAGGUAAGCGGAAUUCCUAGUGUAGCGGUGAAAUGCGUAGAUAUUAGGAGGAACACCGGUGGCGAAGGCGGCUUACUGGACUGUAACUGACGCUGAGUCACGAAAGCGUGGGUAGCAAACAGGAUUAGAUACCCUGGUAGUCCACGCCGUAAACGAUGAGUGCUAGGUGUUGGGCAGCAAUGCUCAGUGCCGAAGUAAACACAAUAAGCACUCCGCCUGGGGAGUACGUACGCAAGUAUGAAACUCAAAUGAAUUGGCGGGG